UACGUAGGGACCAAGCGUUGUUCGGAUUUACUGGGCGUAAAGGGCGCGUAGGCGGCAAUUCAAGUCAGCUGUGAAAUCUCCGGGCUUAACUCGGAACGGUCAGCUGAUACUGCUUUGCUAGAGUGCGGAAGGGGCAAUCGGAAUUCUCGGUGUAGCGGUGAAAUGCGUAGAGUAUCGAGAGGAACACCUGAGGUGAAGACGGGUUGCUGGGCCGAACACGUGACGCUGAGGCGCGAAAGCCAGGGUAGCAAACGGG
RNAcentral lists this ribosomal RNA (256 nucleotides) under uncultured bacterium. Its description in RNAcentral is "partial 16S ribosomal RNA". It matches the Rfam family "Bacterial small subunit ribosomal RNA", at positions 524 to 776 of the family's 1533-position model. The record is from RNAcentral.